This 111-nucleotide small nuclear RNA is filed under the name Zea mays. Its description in RNAcentral is "U2 spliceosomal RNA". It matches the Rfam family "U2 spliceosomal RNA". From Rfam's summary of the family: U2 is a small nuclear RNA (snRNA) component of the spliceosome (involved in pre-mRNA splicing). Complementary binding between U2 snRNA (in an area lying towards the 5' end but 3' to hairpin I) and the branchpoint sequence (BPS) of the intron results the bulging out of an unpaired adenosine, on the BPS, which initiates a nucleophilic attack at the intronic 5' splice site, thus starting the first of two transesterification reactions that mediate splicing. Lineage: Eukaryota; Viridiplantae; Streptophyta; Magnoliopsida; Poales; Poaceae. The record is from Rfam by way of RNAcentral.
CUCAUUUUUCGGUCUUUUGGCUAAGAUUAAGUGUAAUAUUUGUUUUACAAGUUCAAUAUCAGGUAUAUGGACAAUAUGUUCAUUUUGACAUUAAAUCCAUUAAGACUCAAG